GGGGUAUUAGUAAAUUAAUUACACAGCCUUGUCAAGACUGAGUCACAGAUGAAAACCCUGUAUACCCUA
Molecule: transfer RNA, 69 nt
Filed under: Athene noctua
Lineage: Eukaryota; Metazoa; Chordata; Aves; Strigiformes; Strigidae
Description: tRNA-Asp
Source: RNAcentral